This 735-nucleotide ribosomal RNA is filed under the name uncultured bacterium. RNAcentral's name for it is "bacterial SSU rRNA". It matches the Rfam family "Bacterial small subunit ribosomal RNA", at positions 771 to 1501 of the family's 1533-position model. The record is from RNAcentral.
AACAGGAUUAGAUACCCUGGUAGUCCAUGCCGUAAACGUUGGGCACUAGGUGUGGGGGACAUUCCACGUUUUCCGCGCCGUAGCUAACGCAUUAAGUGCCCCGCCUGGGGAGUACGGCCGCAAGGCUAAAACUCAAAGGAAUUGACGGGGGCCCGCACAAGCGGCGGAGCAUGCGGAUUAAUUCGAUGCAACGCGAAGAACCUUACCAAGGCUUGACAUAUACUGGACCGCCUCAGAGAUGGGAUUUCCCUUCGGGGCUGGUAUACAGGUGGUGCAUGGUUGUCGUCAGCUCGUGUCGUGAGAUGUUGGGUUAAGUCCCGCAACGAGCGCAACCCUCGUUCUAUGUUGCCAGCACGUUAUGGUGGGGACUCAUAGGAGACUGCCGGGGUCAACUCGGAGGAAGGUGGGGAUGACGUCAAAUCAUCAUGCCCCUUAUGUCUUGGGCUUCACGCAUGCUACAAUGGCCGGUACAAAGGGUUGCGAUACUGUGAGGUUGAGCUAAUCCCAAAAAGCCGGUCUCAGUUCGGAUUGGGGUCUGCAACUCGACCCCAUGAAGUCGGAGUCGCUAGUAAUCGCAGAUCAGCAACGCUGCGGUGAAUACGUUCCCGGGCCUUGUACACACCGCCCGUCAAGUCACGAAAGUUGGUAACACCCGAAGCCGAUGGCCUAACCCUUUUGGGAGGGAGUCGUCGAAGGUGGGAUUGGCGAUUGGGACUAAGUCGUAACAAGGUAACC